This 429-nucleotide ribosomal RNA is filed under the name Bacteroidota bacterium. Its description in RNAcentral is "Bacteroidetes bacterium partial 16S ribosomal RNA". It matches the Rfam family "Bacterial small subunit ribosomal RNA", at positions 355 to 776 of the family's 1533-position model. Lineage: Bacteria; Pseudomonadati; Bacteroidota. The record is from RNAcentral.
UAGGGAAUCUUCGGCAAUGGGGGGAACCCUGACCGAGCAACGCCGCGUGAGUGAAGAAGGUUUUCGGAUCGUAAAGCUCUGUUGUUAAGGAAGAACGAGCGUGAGAAUGGAAAGUUCAUGCUGUGACGGUACUUAACCAGAAAGGGACGGCUAACUACGUGCCAGCAGCCGCGGUAAUACGUAGGUCCCGAGCGUUGUCCGGAUUUAUUGGGCGUAAAGCGAGCGCAGGCGGUUAGAAAAGUCUGAAGUGAAAGGCAGUGGCUCAACCAUUGUAGGCUUUGGAAACUGUUUAACUUGAGUGCAGAAGGGGAGAGUGGAAUUCCAUGUGUAACGGUGAAAUGCGUAGAUAUAUGGAGGAACACCGGUGGCGAAAGCGGCUCUCUGGUCUGUAACUGACGCUGAGGCUCGAAAGCGUGGGGAGCGAACAGG